CCUACGGGUGGCAGCAGUGGGGAAUAUUGCGCAAUGGGGGAGAGCCUGAAGCAGCAACGCCGCGUGGAGGAUGAAGGCUUUCGGAUUGUAAACUCCUUUUGUUAGGGAAGAAAAUGACGGUACCUAACGAAUAAUCACCGGCUAACUACGUCCCAGCAGCCGCCGUAAUACGUCGGGGGCAAGCGUUACUCGGAAUCACUGGGCGUAAUGAGCGCGUAGGAGGGACAGCAAGUCAGAUGUGAAAUCCUCUGGCUUAACCAGAGACCGGCAGUUGAAACUGUUAUUCUAGAGUAUGGGAGAGGGAGGUGGAAUUCGUGGUGUAGCGGUGAAAUGCGUAGAGAUCAAGAGGAAUACUGAUUGCGAAGGCGGCCUGCUGGAACAUAACUGACGCUGAUGCGCGAAAGCGUGGGGAGCAAACAGGAUUAGAUACCCCAGUAGUC
Molecule: ribosomal RNA, 440 nt
Filed under: uncultured bacterium
Lineage: Bacteria
Description: partial 16S ribosomal RNA
Rfam family: Bacterial small subunit ribosomal RNA
Source: RNAcentral